AAACAACUGGAAACUCGGAACUGGGAAAUCUGAUUUUAUUGUUUUGAAAGCGCCAUAAAUCCAGAGAAUGCCAGACUGAUGACAAAAUUUGCCCAGGAAGGACUGCCGUGCCACCGUCCUGUUCAAGUGAGCACAGCACAACAAGACAUCACAUCCUUACCUAAACAGCACCCUCACCUGAGAAGUGGAAAUCAAAGGGAGAGAAACUGGGAAUUGAAUAACUGCAGUUGACAUACCCAAGUAAAUGGAAGAAUACUCUUAUUGCAAUGUGGAUGGCUCUUAAAAGAGCCUUUGGUUGUGCAUAGUGUAGUCUAUGGUGUUGCCAGGGAACAGCACCCUCUUCGAAUAAGUAGGAGGUGAAGAUCUCCCGCACACAGAUUGCCUCUCUUGCUGCGUUGUUGGACCCCAUCCUUGAAACAUCCUGCAGAGCAGCAGACUUCUCCUCUGGCACAUGGCGUAAGCUGCAGAUCUCCUCCUAGUCCUUGUGUCCAUCCUCAUGAAGUUAUGCAGGACAGGGCCACCAGGAGGCAGUCCCAGAUGGCCCUGGUCACCCAACCUUGCAGUGCCCUACACGAUAACUGUAGGCAAUCGUUUUGAAAGAAUCUCCAGUUGCAAGGUAUCUGUAGAAAUAUAGAAGAUAAUGUCAUCAUUAGACUUACAUCACCAGGGACUGAAUCUCCUGUCGUCACAGUGGGCCUCGGAGCACAGUAGUAGAUAGCAGUCAGACAGCUGCAGCCUCUGGAUCGUCAAGGGGAUGGAGCUGAAUGUGCCUGGAAUCAAACCUCUUGAACUCAUCGCUAUUGCUCUUCUGAAUAACAAUCCCUUCUAACGCUCCGAGACAGCCGCUUUCCCCUGGCUAUAAGACGUUGAAUAGCUCACUGUGCUCCCAAAGACUCUCCACACUGCCUACCUGCUCUGAAUCAUCCACAGCUCUCUACCCACUCAGACACACACACCAACAGACACUUAUCACGCGCAUACACACAUACAGUACUUACAUGCCUUCGCACACACACUACUGAUGCCACAUACAUACACACAUCUACUCACAACAUAAGCUGCUGCUAUACUGAUGAUUACUAUUACCAUUACGCUGCUGCUCUAUUGAUUAUCCUGUUCAACCCUGACACCCUAUGGUGGCAUUUUCUAAACUACGCAUAAUAUUGUAUGCUACCCUCAAAGUACAUUUUGGUUUCAAAACUAAGACCUACAAACACAUGCUUAGUACUGUUAAAAAUGUAAAACUGCGGGAUUCUGAUAAAGGUGUCUGAAACAAUGUGACUAUUACAGAGCCCAAGAUACAGCAAACCCCCCAAAACUGAAGUGUACACAUUACAUUUUUUAUUUCACCUUUAUUUAACCAGGUAGGCCAGUUGAGAACAAGUUCUCAUUUACAACUGCAACCUGGCCAAGAUAAAGCAAAGCAGUGUGACACAGACAACAACAGAGUUACACAAACAAAUGUACUGUCAAUAACACAAUAGAAAAGAAAAAUAGAAAAAUCUAUAUACAGUGUGUGCAAAUGUAGGGAAGUAGGCAAUGAAUAGGCCAUAGAGGAGAAAAUAAUUACAAUUUAGCAUUAAUACUGGAGUGAUAGAUGUGCAGAUGAUGAUGUGCAAGUAGAGAAACUGGGGUGCAAAAGAACAAGAGGGUAAGUAAUAAUAUGGGGAUGAGGUAGUUGGGUGUGCUUUUUACACAUUGGCUGUUUACAGGUACAGCUGAUGCUUAAAGUUAGAGGGAGAUAUAGGUCUACAGCUUCAGAGAUUUUUGCAAUUCGUUCCUGUCAUUGGCAGCAGAGAACUGGAAGGAAAGGCGGCUAAAGGAAGUGUUAGCUUUGGGGAUGACCAGUGAGAGAUGCCUGCUGGAGCGCGUGCUACAGGUGGAUGUUGCUAUGGUGACCAGUGAGCUGAGAUAAGGCGGGGAUUUACCUAGCAAAGACUUAUA
Molecule: long non-coding RNA, 1944 nt
Filed under: Salmo salar (Atlantic salmon)
Lineage: Eukaryota; Metazoa; Chordata; Actinopteri; Salmoniformes; Salmonidae
Description: lncRNA (ENSSSAG00000088218.1)
Source: RNAcentral